This 76-nucleotide transfer RNA is filed under the name Clostridia bacterium. RNAcentral describes it as "tRNA-Pro". It matches the Rfam family "tRNA". Rfam says of the family: Transfer RNA (tRNA) molecules are approximately 80 nucleotides in length. Lineage: Bacteria; Bacillati; Bacillota; Clostridia. RNAcentral also lists the same sequence under 1 other name. The record is from RNAcentral.
CGGGGUAUAGCGCAGAUGGUAGCGCGCUGCGUUCGGGACGCAGAGGCCUUGAGUUCAAAUCUCAAUACUCCGACCA